UACGUAGGGUGCGAAGCGUUAAUCGGAAUACUGGGCGUAAAGCGUGCGCAGGCGGUAAUGUAAGACAGAUGUGAAAUCCCCGGGCUUAACCUGGGACCUGCAUUUGUGACUGCAUUGCUGGAGUGCGGCAGAGGGGGAUGGAAUUCCGCGUGUAGCAGUGAAAUGCGUAGAUAUGCGGAGGAACACCGAUGGCGAAGGCAAUCCCCUGGGCCUGCACUGACGCUCAUGCACGAAAGCGUGGGAGCGAA
Molecule: ribosomal RNA, 248 nt
Filed under: uncultured bacterium
Lineage: Bacteria
Description: partial 16S ribosomal RNA
Rfam family: Bacterial small subunit ribosomal RNA
Source: RNAcentral